RNAcentral lists this ribosomal RNA (312 nucleotides) under uncultured Coriobacteriaceae bacterium. RNAcentral's name for it is "partial 16S ribosomal RNA". Lineage: Bacteria; Bacillati; Actinomycetota; Coriobacteriia; Coriobacteriales; Coriobacteriaceae. The record is from RNAcentral.
GGAGUCUGGGCCGUAUCUCAGUCCCAAUGUGGCCGGUCGGUCUCUCAACCCGGCUACCCGUCGUCGGCUAGGCGGGCCUCUGCCCCGCCUACUACCUGAUGGGCCGCGACCCCAUCCCCCGCCGCCUGGGCUUUCCCGCCGGGGCCAUGCGGUCCCGGCGGCGCAUCAGGUAUUAAUCCCGGUUUCUCGAGGCUGUCCCUGAGCGGGGGGCAGGUUGGUCACGUGUUACUCACCCGUUCGCCACUUCAUAUCCGCCCGAAGGCGGUUUCACCGUUCGACUUGCAUGUGUUAGGCACGCCGCCAGCGUUCAUC